Molecule: long non-coding RNA, 283 nt
Organism: Zea mays
Lineage: Eukaryota; Viridiplantae; Streptophyta; Magnoliopsida; Poales; Poaceae
Exons: 2
Source: RefSeq, a predicted model, not a curated record
ACAUUUCUGUGUGCUGUUAUGCAGAGUAAUGAUGGCAGAUACUGGUGUAGCAGGAGCUUGGCCUGAAGCCCGUGCCUGAUUCUUCUCUGUGUGAGGACUUGGUUCUUGGUUUGGCUGUGGGGAACAAAUUUGGAACUGUCGUCAACUGCAUGACUUCAGUUCAGGCAUGUUCUGCUUAAACGACUCGGCCAACUACGGCUCUCAGUUGUAGUCUUCAUGGUUUUGUUCCUCCAUUCUUGGCACGUCCUUAUCUGCAAAUGAAUGUCAACCUUCCAUUACUAUC